This is a non-coding RNA of Python bivittatus (Burmese python), 3380 nucleotides long. NCBI's taxonomy places the organism in Eukaryota, Metazoa, Chordata, Lepidosauria, Squamata, Pythonidae. The record is from RefSeq and is a predicted model, not a curated record.
GGUUCAGAUCCCAUUAAUUAAUCAAUUAAUUAAUCUAUCUCAUUAAUUAAUCCAGAUGUUUUGUGUGAGCGUUAUCACUUGACACUGAAUUGCAUUUGCCAUUUGAAGCCCAUUCCUCCAGUUGGGAAAAUUUUUUUGCAGUUUCUUACAGUCCCUUUUGACUUUACCACCCUGAAGAUUUGAUAUUAACUGCCAAUAUAGCCACUUCACUAUCAGCCCUCCAGAUCACUAGUAUGUCCGUUUGCACCUAUUCUGUUUUUUUAACAAGUUAUGUGAGAAUAUAUAAAAAUACAGGAGCCCAUUUUCUUCUUCUGGUUUGAGAUCUAGGGGGAAAAUAAUAAUUUUUUUUCCUCCUAAUUUUGUACCUAAUUUUAGUAAGGAAGCCAUGUAUUCAGCAGUAGACAAUCACUGCAAAGAGGAAGUCUCAGUUGCUAUAUUAAUUGAAUUCCACAGCUGAAAUGACUAACUAUUAGGUAUAUAUGAAAGCACAAUAAUUCAGCUGCAAUACAUACUGCAGAAGAAUGGAAAAAAAUGCAAAAGUUAAUUCAAUCAUUUUAAAUGCAUUAAAACAGACUUACUACAAAUAAUCAACAUUUUUAAGAUACUAUAUCCUUAUCUAAAAUGUGGAUAGCUGCUUACAACAAUUAAGCAAAGGAACAAUAUAGUGAGACAUGGCACAUUUUCUAGUUUUAAAAUUCAAUGCUGUCAUCUCUGUAUCUCCUGGCCAAACCUAUUUUUUUCCAAUGAAAAGAAAAUUACAGUCUGUGUUUGUUGACACAGAAAAAAUGCCUCUGUGUGUGUGUGUGUCUGGAAUGAGAGAGAGAGAGAGAGAGGUCUCUUUCCUUUUCCUUUAUAAAUGGGUUUAAAAUAGGCCAUCAAACAUUGAUUUUAAAUUUUGGAAUAGGUUUAAAAGUAUCCUUGUGUAUAAAACAGCUAAGCUGUCUUAAAACAAUGUGAUUCAGUGUGCUGUGAAAUUGCAUCCACAGGUCUAUAAAACUGAUUUCAAAGAGCUGAAUUUCUUUGCAAAUUAAAAAAAAAAAAGACAAAACCCCAACCCAAACUCUUUAAGCCAUUCUGGAGUUAGUCAUUUAAGCCAAUUCCUGUGCAAGCUUUCUCUGAUGCAGUAAAAGAGACAGUUUGCUUAGAGGCUGUAGCUGAUUUAUAGUACAAUGACCAAUGGCAUAGUUAGGGCUGUUCUUCUGGGGGCGGGGGUGUCCUUUUGUAUUUUGUUUUUGUGUUUGUUGCAACAACACCCUGGCAAAGUCUCAGGAGUCGUCAAAAGAUGUGAGUGAUUCUGGUUGCUUCUGGGAUGUUCCAAAUGGUUCAAACAAACCCGUUCACAGGGACGCAUGGCCAAGUGUGUUCCAAGGAACGAGGGGAAAAACAAAGAUUGCUCUGAAGUAAUUUCCCUGCACUGAAUCCAGCCAUCCGGUUUCACUCUUUCUUCAUUGAAUGGUCAGAAUGCAACAGGAAGAGCAAGGCUGAAAGAGAACAACCGGCCAAAUGUACUGGCAGAGGGAGCUGCAAGAGACGGCAGGGGCAGCUUGAUGCAAAACGACCAUUCUUUACUCUUGGAAGGGAAUGAAUGAUAAAUGUUCGCGUCCCUGAGGUAAUAAAUGUGUCUUGCUUGCAGGGCCAGGGCCAAGUUCCUAGGACACCUGCGAAGACAGGAGAGGCUUUAUAGGUCCAAGCAAUCUCUUUAUUGGAAACAGACGGGAUGUAGCGGAUAGAGAGGAUACUGUUUGCCAUUUGCCUCAUUCCUUCACUGCUGCUGGCUCAACCUUCUUAUCUAUUUAUGCAGCAGCCAUGCCUGCUGCCCUUCCGCAUAAAACACCAUUCAGGGAGCUGGGGAGAGAGGGAGAGCACCAUUGGCUGCAGAAGAGAAAUACAAGAUCUGCAUUUAUUCCUGGCUGCCCCAGGAUCAGUCUGUUGAAGACAGAAGUAGGGGACCUGCAGCAUUCCAGAUGUUCCUGGACUAUAACUUCAAGCUCCCCUGCCAACAAAGCUAAUGAAAAAGGAGGCUCAGAUUGCAGUAAAAUCUGCUUGGGAGGAGGGGGUGUCCCAGUUUUCUACCACUAGUUUAAGGGUUACUUUACCCCAUUAUUAGAGAACUUGAGCUGAGGCCUAGCUGGAAAUCCCACCUUGGAUGCAGACAGUGUCAUUCCUGAUCCCUUAACAAUGUUAGUCUGCAGUGGCACAAAACAGCCUGUCAGACCACAUAGGAUGACUGGAAAGCCUGGCUAACUCUAGAGAUUGAGGAAGGUGACCUGGACGGAGAUAUGCAGGAACUGUUACCUGGGCAAAAAGGCCCGAGCAGUCCUUAAAUUCAAAAUGAUGCCUCCCCAAUUCACUGGAGUGUAAGAAGGAGAAGGUAGAGCACAGGCUUGCAAGAUUCUGCAUGUAUAGCAGUUUCAAUAAAAGCAGUUUUAACCUUCCUGUGGAGUUCGUUUCCUGGUCUGGUCUACUUAGCGGGGCUGACCCCAACCCUGCUGUCCUUUGCAGCUAGUCUUACAGGCACUUCUCUUUAGGACUCCAGCCAAACGCUCAAUAUCAGACUACAGCUGGGGUCACCAGGAUAGAGCACUCCAUGUAGGGGUGUCCACAGGGUAUGGUCAAAACAAUCAAGAUGGCAGGUGGCCAUGGCAGUGUCACCGAAACUGCCUGCUCACACAACGCACAUAAACAGGCAGAGCAUUAAUCACACUGUCAUGGGUGCCCUCUUGACUUUUUGGAUCAUACCCCACAGAUACCUCUGACUCUAUGCAUAAAAGCAAGGAAGAAGGCAACACACCUGCAGCGGAGCGUGAUGACUCCCAACUAGACUGAACUCUGGGGAGCAGUUGCUGGAGAACAUAAGCUCUCCUUCUCAGCCCAUGUUACUGAACUAUAAGGAACAGACAGGAUUUAAUACUGGGAUGCGACCAGGAUUGUCAGCUGGUAACUACUGUCUUUGCUGAAGUUACGGAAAAGGAAUGUCAGCUUCUUCCAAAGCGCACAGAUGGUUUUUCAAGAAUUCAUGGCUGUCCAUAGCCCAGAGUCUUCUUUCACCCAGAUGUGUUGCAAAGUUGUUCAAAAUUCUUCAUGAUGAACUUCAUGGUGUGGUUAAAAAAAGAGAGAGAAAGAAAACGCAGCUUAAAGAAUGACUCUGUACAGUGCUCAAGCAUCGCUUGCUAUAGCUGAAUCCAAGAAAAAUAAAUAGGGACAAAUACUUUUUGAGAUCAAUGGUGUUCUUGAAAAUUAUUUCUCACAGUUGCAGGUGACACCCUUAACAAAUCCCCAGGAGCAGAUGAGAAAUGUAUGGGCUGUUAAUAAACUGUAACUAAUCAAUGAAUGCUGCCGGAUUGUGCUCAAGCUGCUUGGGGCCACCCGUCCUUGGGAGA